CGGGGUGGAGUAAUGUCUGGGAAACUGCCUGAUGGAGGGGGAUAACUACUGGAAACGGUAGCUAAUACCGCAUAACGUCGCAAGACCAAAGAGGGGGACCGUUCGGGCCUCUUGCCAUCGGAUGUGCCCAGAUGGGAUUAGCUAGUAGGUGGGGUAACGGCUCACCUAGGCGACGAUCCCUAGCUGGUCUGAGAGGAUGACCAGCCACACUGGAGCUGAGACACGGUCCAG
Molecule: ribosomal RNA, 231 nt
Filed under: uncultured bacterium
Lineage: Bacteria
Description: partial 16S ribosomal RNA
Rfam family: Bacterial small subunit ribosomal RNA
Source: RNAcentral